AUGGGAAACACCUCUGGGUUGAUCUGCUUCAGUGCAGCGUCAGGACAGCAGCUCCAGGCCUCAGAACACAACAUCUUGUUCCUGACCAGAAUGGAGAAAGUCACUUACUGUGAGACGUGUGAUGCUGCAGACGGGCCUCGAGGAGGAGUGUGUGAGCACUCUUUAGCUGCAGCUUUGAGACCAGGAGUCAUCAUGCAUUUCUCUGAUGUGCUCUUUAUUUGGAUUGUGGCAUUGGGAACAUCUGAACUGAGCUCUGCAGGACCUCUUCAUGCACAGUGCAAAGUCGAGUGGUACUUCAGUCUGCCUUGCAGGAGUGUGUCUGAAUCUCUGGUCACACAGAUCAAGAAGUGGAGAACAUUCUCAACGUGCGCCACAGGAGGAGAGAAAUGUCUCUACAAGUUGCAGUCAGCAUCGACGCACUUCAUUUCCGCCAAACACACAACGCCAGUGAAGAAAUAUGUUGAUGACAUCAACUUCAGACUCACCUCCUAUGGGUUUUUUACACACUGUCAUGUAUCUGCCAUGUCAGUGUCAGAGACCUGGUAUGCCAUCACUGAUCACGGCACUAACUACUGUAACCUUUACAAUUUGAUUGAAGGUAAAACUGGUUCAAAAAUUAAUAUCAGAUUGCUUUUGAUUAACAUGGCAUGAAUGUGCUGAGUCUUAUUGUGUGUGUGUGUGUGUGUGUGUGUGUGUGUGCGUGCGUGCGUGCGUGCGUGCGUGCGUGCGUGCGUGCGUGCGUGCGUGUGUGUGUGUGUGUGUGUGUGUGCGUGCGUGUGUGUGUGUGUGUGUGUGUGUGUGUGCAGGAAGUGGAUUGACUGAAGCUCCAGGAUAUAAAGAAAUCACCAGUGACUUCCUGUGCACUCAGCGCUCAUCUGCUAACUGUACCAUUUACUGAGACAUCUUUAUAUAUAUUUUAAAAUCAUUUCUGGAUGUUUGUACCUGUAGUCUAGUAGAAUUAGAAAUAAGGUCAUGACAAUAGUCAUACAAUUGAAAAUAAAAGUACUUUUAAUCAACCUACGGUUUGUAAAAAUAAAAUGAGUCUGUUCUAAAUGUGCUUUACUGUACAUGUACACACAUAAAGCAUUCGUUGCAUUAUUCAUUUAUAUUCCUUAGCUUAGUCCCUUUGUUAAUCUGGGGUCGCCACAGUGGAAUGAACCGCCAACUUAUCCAGCAUAUUUCUUAUACAGCGGCUGCCCUGCAGCUGCAACCUAGUACUUGGAAACCCCCCAUACACACUCAUCCACACACAUACAGUACGGCCAAUUUAGUUUAUUCAAUUCACCUAUAGCGCAUGUCUUUGAGCUGUGGGGGAAACUGGAGGAAACCCAUGGUGACACGGGGAGAUUUGUUGCAUUAAUAUUGCAUAUAUACAUUUUUUUACAGUACAUUUAAUUAAAUAAAUGUGUCUUUGGUAAACGCAAGACUCUGAUUAAUAAGAUGACAAAUAUUUACCUGUUGAAGAGUUGUGUUUAUUUGUGUUAUUUUAGUAGAACACGUCUACUUUUUAUUUUAAUGUUGUAGCAAAGAUUGUGGAGCAAAUCUAUAACUGACAAUGAACAAACUGUUUAUUAACUAUAAAAAGAUUAAUGAAUACUGUAACAAAUGUGUUAUUAUCAAUGUUAAUAUGUUAGUUAAUGAUGGGUAAUGAUGGUAAUUGAUAAAUAUUAAAUAAAAUAUACGAAAUCCUGGAUUUCACUGUCAAAUUAUUUUAAUAAAAAUUUUAAAUUUUACUUAAAAAAAAUAUUAUCUUGGUGAUAUAAACAAACAUUAUAUGAUACAAUUACUCCUCUUAAUCUUUUAAUUUGUCACAUCCUUCAAUAGAAAAUACAGGAAACUGCCCUCGUCUUAUUUGAGUAUUUAAUCGUCUUCCUUUAUUUACUUACAGUACUGAACUUAUAAUGGCUCAUGAAUCAAAGUAUCUUCCAAUGUUUCCCCUUUUGUACCACUCCAGAAGACUAGACUUUUGUGCUUUUGCUCUAUAUUUUUCUCCUCAUUCAGUUCGGAUGACUGUGACAUUUCAUAUGCUGUUCUUAGCACAAUGUUUGGAGACAAAUAUAGCAGUUCUCAGUGGUGUUAUGCACGGACAUUGUUCUCUCUAAGGGCAGCAAUAUGCUCGGAAGGGUGAAGACAUCCAUCAUGGUUGUCUUUUAC
This is a long non-coding RNA of Danio rerio (zebrafish), 2154 nucleotides long. The record is from Ensembl. Lineage: Eukaryota; Metazoa; Chordata; Actinopteri; Cypriniformes; Danionidae.